UGGGGAAUGAUUGGACAAUGGGCGCGAAGCCAUGCAUCCAGCAAUGCCGCGUGAGUGAUGAAGGCCCUAGGGUUGUAAAGCUCUUUUACCCGGGAAGAUAAUGACUGUACCGGGAGAAUAAGCCCCGGCUAACUCCGUGCCAGCAGCCGCGGUAAUACGGAGGGGCUAGCGUUGUUGCGAAUUACUGGGCGUAAAGCGCACGUAGGCGGCUUUGUAAGUCAUGAGGUGAAAGCCUGGAGCUCAACUCCAGAACUGCCUUUGAGACUGCAUCGCUUGAAUCCAGGAGAGGUCAGUGGAAUUCCGAGUGUAGAGGUGAAAUUCGUAGAUAUUCAGGAAGAACACCAGUGGCGAAGGCGGCUGACUGGACUGGUAUUGACGCUGAGGUGCGAAAGCGUGGGG
RNAcentral lists this ribosomal RNA (399 nucleotides) under uncultured bacterium. RNAcentral describes it as "partial 16S ribosomal RNA". It matches the Rfam family "Bacterial small subunit ribosomal RNA", at positions 355 to 766 of the family's 1533-position model. The record is from RNAcentral.